GUGAGUAACCUGCCCUUGACUCUGGGAUAAGCGUUGGAAACGACGUCUAAUACCGGAUACGAACCGUGGAGGCAUCUCCUGCGGUUGGAAAGAAUUUUGGUCAAGGAUGGACUCGCGGCCUAUCAGCUAGUUGGUGAGGUAACGGCCCACCAAGGCGACGACGGGUAGCCGGCCUGAGAGGGUGACCGGCCACACUGGGACUGAGACACGGCCCAGACUCCUACGGGAGGCAGCAGUGGGGAAUAUUGCACAAUGGGCGAAAGCCUGAUGCAGCAACGCCGCGUGAGGGACGACGGCCUUCGGGUUGUAAACCUCUUUUAGCAGGGAAGAAGCGAAAGUGACGGUACCUGCAGAAAAAGCACCGGCUAACUACGUGCCAGCAGCCGCGGUAAUACGUAGGGUGCAAGCGUUGUCC
This 415-nucleotide ribosomal RNA is filed under the name Frigoribacterium sp. F36. RNAcentral describes it as "bacterial SSU rRNA". It matches the Rfam family "Bacterial small subunit ribosomal RNA", at positions 117 to 546 of the family's 1533-position model. Lineage: Bacteria; Bacillati; Actinomycetota; Actinomycetes; Micrococcales; Microbacteriaceae. The record is from RNAcentral.